AUGGUAAUUUACCAACAAAUCUGAAAGAAGCUUCACAUCAGAUUUGCAACGAAAAAGUGGUUUUCUACACAACUGGUUUUAUUAAGAAACAAACUUUUUACGAAUCCCCCUGUAAACUCUUAGCAUUUCCACUUGGUACAUCCAGGAAAGUGGUUUUCACUUUAAAGAAAGGAGAUCCGCUCCGUAAAUUUUUGAACCAUCAUAUUCAGAAAUACAGAGAAAGUGGUUUACUAUCUUGGGAAAAAAAACUGCAUCUUGUAAAAAAAGAAUCCAUAAAUGAUAUUUCAUUGAGUAUUACUGACGUCACUCCGUUGCUAGUACUAUUAAUUAGUGGAUUUGUCCUAAGCUUAAUAAUAUUUUUAUUCGAAAAGUAUCAUAGUCACUUAAUAUUAUUUUUAAUAAGGAAACCAUGCAAGAAAA
Molecule: long non-coding RNA, 420 nt
Organism: Copidosoma floridanum
Lineage: Eukaryota; Metazoa; Arthropoda; Insecta; Hymenoptera; Encyrtidae
Source: RefSeq, a predicted model, not a curated record